AUACGUAGGGUGCAAGCGUUAAUCGGAAUUACUGGGCGUAAAGCGUGCACAGGCGGUUUUGUAAGACAGAGGUGGAAUCCCCGGGCUCAACCUGGGGACUGCCAUUGUGACUGCAAGGCUGGAGUGCGGCAGAGGGGGAUGGAAUUCCGCGUGUAGCAGUGAAAAGCGUAGAUAUGCGGAGGAACACCGAAGGCGAAGGCAAUCCCCUGGGCCUGCACUGACGCUCAUGCACGAAAGCGGGGGGAGCAAACAGGAUUAGAUACCCUGUUAGUCCACGCCCUAAACGAUGUCAACUGGUUGUUGGGGAUUUAUUUUCUCAGUAACGAAGCUAACGCGUGAAGUUGACCGCCUGGGGAGUACGGCCGCAAGGUUAAAACUCAAAUGAAUUGACGGGG
This 395-nucleotide ribosomal RNA is filed under the name uncultured bacterium. Its description in RNAcentral is "partial 16S ribosomal RNA". It matches the Rfam family "Bacterial small subunit ribosomal RNA", at positions 523 to 918 of the family's 1533-position model. The record is from RNAcentral.